GAUGAACGCUGGCGGCGUGCUUAACACAUGCAAGUCGAACGGAAAGGCCACAGCUUGCUGUGGUACUCGAGUGGCGAACGGGUGAGUAACACGUGGGUGAUCUGCCCUGUACUUCGGGAUAAGCUUGGGAAACUGGGUCUAAUACCGGAUAGGAAUCACAUGUGGGUGUGUGGUUGGAAAGCUUUUGCGGUAUGGGAUGAGCUCGCGGCCUAUCAGCUUGUUGGUGGGGUAAUGGCCUACCAAGGCGUCGACGGGUAGCCGGCCUGAGAGGGUGUACGGCCACAUUGGGACUGAGAUACGGCCCAGACUCCUACGGGAGGCAGCAGUGGGGAAUAUUGCACAAUGGGCGCAAGCCUGAUGCAGCGACGCCGCGUGGGGGAUGACGGCCUUCGGGUUGUAAACUCCUUUCGUCAGGGACGAAGCGAAAGUGACGGUACCUGGAUAAGAAGCACCGGCUAACUACGUGCCAGCCGCCGCCGUAACAC
Molecule: ribosomal RNA, 485 nt
Filed under: uncultured bacterium
Lineage: Bacteria
Description: bacterial SSU rRNA
Rfam family: Bacterial small subunit ribosomal RNA
Source: RNAcentral